RNAcentral lists this long non-coding RNA (2254 nucleotides) under Felis catus (domestic cat). Its description in RNAcentral is "lncRNA (ENSFCAG00000040908.2)". Lineage: Eukaryota; Metazoa; Chordata; Mammalia; Carnivora; Felidae. The record is from RNAcentral.
AAAAAAUAGCUACUCAGACAAGCAGGUGCAUAAAAGGAGAUAAUUCCAACCCAUUAAUUGGUGUCUACUGCCUUAGUGAGCUGGAGAUUGGCUUUUUUCUAAUACUUGGUUCCAGGGACUGAUCAGGAAGUAGCAUAUCUGACCAGAGCUCAAACUAAAGUUCUAGAACCAGGUAAAUCUUUCAGAAUGCAACAAGGGAUACUUUAGAACCCCACGUACACUGGAUCAUUUACUCAAUAUGCCUGUGUGUACUUCUUUUGAGAUCUGACAAUAUUUUUUUAAUUUUUUUUGUUGUUCAUUUAUUUAUUUUGAGAGAGAGAGAGAGAGCAUGAGCAAGAGAGGGGCAGAGAGAGAGGGAGAGAGAGAAUCCCAAGCAGGCUCCGCACUGUCAGUGCAGAGCCCAACACGGGGUCCUAUCUCACCAACUGUGAGAUCAUGACCUGAGCCAAAAUCAAGAGUCAGACGCUUAACUGACUGAGCCACCCAGGUGCCCCUGAGAUUUGACAAUAUCCUUAAACAAAACAAAAAACAUGCUGUUAUGGUGACUCAAAAAAGAGCAAAGAACAUGAAGAGCCUUCGGUCAACUUCUCUUUGUUCAGUUUCUCUGACCAUAACGGGCACAUUCCGGGUAAAAUGGAGGAGAAGGAAGCCGCACCUCUUCAUUCACUUUCUCCUCUCCAGGGAAAGAGCCGGAGGGGUGGGAAGAUAUCCAAGGGACAGGAGGGAAGCCAAGUUCCUUCAGACAGCCCAGAGUAGGCUGUGGCCUCCUGAACCUUCUGCUCCACUGUCGGAUCCGUCUGGGAGGAGAUCCUCAGCCAUGACUGGGAGCGGAAUUUUGCCUCACUCUUUAACUGCCACAUUUCACCUUCCAGACACCCCUGCAAGAAAGGUGUCAUUCUGCCUCCGGUCUGCAGAGCAGCAGGUGAUACGGGCCCAUCGGACCCCAGAUCAUUUGAGCAUUUGGGAAUGGCCUCUGUUUUGGCUUUGUUUGUUUGUUUGUUUCCUGUUUGUUUUGAAAUAAAACACUUUCACUAUGACCUUGGAAACGUCACUUAACCUCAGUUCUCAUUUGUAAAUCUGAAUAAUCAUGAGACUUUCCUCACAAGGCAGUCCCGAAGGGCAAUGAAAUGGGCAACCGUGGCCGACGUUUUUGCGGUACUUAGUCCGUGCAGGGACCGCCCUCAGGGGCUUUAUUCCUUGCAACGGCCUAUGAAUGAGGUAUUAUUAUCAUCAGCUCCAUUUGACGGUGAGGAGACUGGGGCACGGUGAGCUUACGCGACUCGCUCCGUGCCCUCCUGCAGGCAGUGGCGGAGCCCGGCUUAGGCCAGAGGCUGUGGCGUCUGCAUCCGGGAGCUCAGCCACGUGCACCUGGAACGGGGGUCUUAAUCCUGCGUGCGUCAGACUCACGUGCCAGUCCUGCAAAUACCUGCUGAGUCAGACUCCCCAGCCUCCGCAUUUGCAAUCAACCUCCGUGCCUCGGCACGGUCGGUGCUGGAACACAGGCAUUCCCCACUCUGGCUUCCUUCUCCUGACUCACUGGCUCUUCACCAAGUUCUAGGACUGGACUAUUAGGGUUGCCUCUGACCCAUUCCUGACACAUCUAUGUCACCAGCCCGCAUGUCAGGAGGAACAGGUUCUAGUUGCCUCAGGGGGAAACAGCCGUCCUGGGAUCAUCCUUCUCCACCUGUCUGAAGCUAUAUCCGGUCAUGUGACCAGUGGGAGAGAGACUGUGAGCCACGGUGGAUGUGUCACCCAACGUCUCGGUCUUUUAAGUAAACUACACCUGACAACACUGUGUUAUCCCGAGCUCCUUCAGUUUCCUGGAAACUCCCAGGAUGUUUCAGAAGGCAGAGUUCAGCUGUAACUUGGAUGGUAGGAACCCAUGGAACCAGCCAUAGUCAGAUGGCCCUGAACGUUAAAAUAGGCUGGCCCUGAGUUCUCAUACCCCUUUAGGACAUUCCUCUCUCAAAUCAAAAUUUGUUAGUAUGGGUGGGGGUGGAGGGGGGGCGGGGCGCUGGGCACCUGGGUGGCUCAGUAGGUGAAGCGUCUGACUCUUGAUUUCGGUUCAGGUCAUGAUCUCACAGUUUAUGGGUUUGAGCCCCGGAGCCUGCUUGGGAUUCUUUCUCUCCUGCUCUCUGCCCCACCCCCACUCGUUUUCUCUCUCUGGCGCUCUCUCUCUCUCUCUCUCUCUCUCUCUCUGUCUCUCUGUCUCAAUAUAAAUAAAUAAACACUUUAAACAAUUAUUUGUUUAAAG